RNAcentral lists this ribosomal RNA (193 nucleotides) under uncultured bacterium. RNAcentral's name for it is "partial 16S ribosomal RNA". It matches the Rfam family "Bacterial small subunit ribosomal RNA", at positions 1308 to 1500 of the family's 1533-position model. The record is from RNAcentral.
CAACUCGACUACAUGAGGCUGGAAUCGCUAGUAAUCGCAGAUCAGAAUGCUGCGGUGAAUACGUUCCCGGGCCUUGUACACACCGCCCGUCACACCAUGAGAGCCGGUAAUACCCGAAGUCAGUAUCCUAACCGCAAGGAGGGAGCUGCCGAAGGUAGGAUUGGCGAUUGGGGUGAAGUCGUAACAAGGUACC